This 255-nucleotide ribosomal RNA is filed under the name uncultured bacterium. RNAcentral's name for it is "partial 16S ribosomal RNA". It matches the Rfam family "Bacterial small subunit ribosomal RNA", at positions 524 to 776 of the family's 1533-position model. The record is from RNAcentral.
UACGAAGGGGGGCUAGCGUUGUUCGGAAUUACUGGGCGUAAAGCGCGUGUAGGCGGGUCUUUUAAGUCAGGGGUGAAAUGCCAGGGCUCAACCUUGGAACUGCCUUUGAUACUGGAGACCUUGAGUCCGGGAGAGGUGAGUGGAACUGCGAGUGUAGAGGUGAAAUUCGUAGAUAUUCGCAAGAACACCAGUGGCGAAGGCGGCUCACUGGCCCGAUACUGACGCUGAGGCACGAAAGCGUGGGGAGCAAACAGG